This is a long non-coding RNA of Quercus lobata, 2290 nucleotides long. RefSeq lists it as uncharacterized. The record is from RefSeq and is a predicted model, not a curated record. The transcript has 3 exons. NCBI's taxonomy places the organism in Eukaryota, Viridiplantae, Streptophyta, Magnoliopsida, Fagales, Fagaceae.
AUUGUAUCAUUUAUAACAAAUAAUGUUCUGCCAAGUGAAGCAAAGGAGGCCAAAAAUAUACGAAGGACUUUGGCCCGAUUUUGGUUAUCUAAGGACAAAAGGUUAUACUGACGAUCAUUUGGAGGACCAUAUUUGUUAUGUCUUCACCCAGGGAUGUGGAGGGUCUCUUAACUGAGUUACAUAGAGGAAUCUGUGGAAGUCAUAUGGGAAGAUGGUCGCUAGCACAUCGACUUAUGACACAAGGAUUCUAGUAGCCAAACAUGCAAAGGGAUGCCACCGAGUACGUAGAAGUGUGAUCAAUGUCAGAAGCACUCCUCGAAUAUCCACUAGCUAGAAAGGAGUCUUAACCCGAUCUCCAGCCCAUGGCCCUUCGCCCAGUGGGGGUUAGACAUUGUUGGGACGUUUCCUUGAGCCACUGAUAACAAAAGGUUUGCCAUAGUUGCUACAGAUUAUUUUAUGAAAGGGGUUGAAGCUGAAGCCUUGGCAAACAUUCGAGAUGUAGAUGUGAAAAAGUUUUUUUGGAAAAAUAUUUUCACAAGGUUUGGGAUAAUGGGUUACAGUUCGAUAGCAAGGCCUUCUGUAAAUAUUGCAGUGAUCUCGGAAUCAAGAACAGAUAUUCAACUCGAGCAUACACUCAGAGUAAUGGACAAGUAGAAGUGAUGAACAAAGCAAUAGUUAACAGGCUGAAGAAAAUGCUAGAAGGGGCUAAAGGUGAAUGGGCCAAGGAGUGCCUCAUGUGCUAUGGGCUUACCGCACAAUGCCCACGAGAUCCACGGGUAAACCCCCUUUUUCUAUGACUUACGGAGUUGAAGCUAUGAUUCCUGUGGAGGUAGGCUUAUCUAGUAUAAGGGUCUCAAAUGUCUCCCCGUGAAAUAAUUAUGCUUGCGUGGCUGAGCAGUUGGACCUCCUGGAAGAGCACCAAGAGAUGGCUUUGAUCAGAUUAGCUAACUAUCAGUAGAAGUUGGCUUAGAGGUAUGACAAAAAUGUAAAGCCAAGAGAUUUCGUUGCAGGGGACUUAGUCUUACGGAAGGCGGUGGGAAAUAUAAAGGAUCAAGGUGCAGGGAAGUUGGCUCCAAACUGGGAGGGCCCAUAUCGAGUCACUACAAUGGCAGGAGCUGAGGCUUACUACUUGGAGGAUAUGGAGGAAAGACUGCUUUCCUGACCUUGGAAUGUGAGAAAUUUGAAAAGAUACUACCACUACGUGCAACCAUUAUGAUGAGAUGUCUUACACUAUAAUUCUCUUUGGAAAAAAUGGAACAAAAGUGAUCAUCUUUAUUAGCGUUAAAUUAUAUUUGUUGCAUUACACACUUUUACUCUAAAGGGACUAAGGACAGAAACCUAGCAUCGACCUGACGCCAAUCACCAACUAGGUCAAAACCAAAACAAAUUUAUCUAAGGACAAAAACCUAGUGUAACACCCCAACCUAAUUGCAUAAUUUAUUUUAUGGGUUUAUAUGCAUGUUAUUAUCUUAAUUACUUUGAGUGCUUAAAACUUUGAUAUUGUGAUAUUAUAGAAGAUACAUGCUCUUUUAAUGUUGCAAAAAGAAAUUUUAUAAAGGUAAGGAUAUAUAUGCAAAGUUAUAUUGUUCUUUGGGCCUUUCUAGAAAUAUAAGCUUAUAAGGGGGUGAAAAGUAUAAAUGCCAAAAGUUGAAAAGGUGGGUCAUGAUCUUUUCUUUCCUUAGCAUUACAUGUGCCCCAUCUCAAAUUCCAUUUCCUUUAUCUUCUUUUUCUGCACCAGAAAUUUCAGCUCUUCUUUCUCUAUUCCUUUUUCUUUCUCUCUUCUUUGCUCUUACACCGCAACACCUCUCCCUCACUCUCUCACCGAAAAUCAUAUACAUCUCUCUCUAAGAAGAAAUUAAGAGCCUAACACUAAGGUUUCAGCUUCAAAGUUUGUGGGCGACGAGAACGAGAACAUGGACACUUAAGCUCCUCUUAUACAAUCUCUCGUAUCUUCUGUUUUCAGUGCACAGGUUCUUCCUGGAAGCAGCGAGAGUAUUAGAGAUGGCAAGGAUUCUGUGAUUCUCGCUUGUUAGAAUGUAUAGUUUUUGUUGUAUAGUAGUUUAGCUCUUUUGUGUUAUAGAAGGAAUCAAGAUGUACUUGAUCCUUGAGCACAGAUGUAAUUCAGAACCUUAGUUUGUUUUGAACCCCAGUUGUAUGUCUUUGGGGUUAGGUUUGUAAUAAGAGUUUUGCUAAACGUUUAGCUAUGUAAUAUUUACACGGAUACCUGACCUUUCAACCAAGUGGUAAUCUUCCAAGUUCAAAUGAAAUGAAGUUUCAAGGCUUUCAUCAU